UACGUAGGGUGCAAGCGUUAAUCGGAAUUACUGGGCGUAAAGCGUGCGCAGGCGGUUUUGUAAGUCUGUCGUGAAAUCCCCGGGCUUAACCUGGGAAUUGCGAUGAAGACUGCAAGGCUAGAAUCUGGCAGAGGGGGGUAGAAUUCCACGUGUAGCAGUGAAAUGCGUAGAGAUGUGGAGGAACACCGAUGGCGAAGGCAGCCCCCUGGGUCAAGAUUGACGCUCAUGCACGAAAGCGUGGGGAGCAAACGGG
RNAcentral lists this ribosomal RNA (253 nucleotides) under uncultured bacterium. RNAcentral's name for it is "partial 16S ribosomal RNA". It matches the Rfam family "Bacterial small subunit ribosomal RNA", at positions 524 to 776 of the family's 1533-position model. The record is from RNAcentral.